Hemicordylus capensis (graceful crag lizard) is the source of this 371-nucleotide long non-coding RNA. RefSeq lists it as uncharacterized. The transcript has 3 exons. The record is from RefSeq and is a predicted model, not a curated record. Lineage: Eukaryota; Metazoa; Chordata; Lepidosauria; Squamata; Cordylidae.
CUGGGACAAAACCAAUACAGAUGCGGGAGUAGGCCUGCAUCUGAAAAGAAGGGAGGUAGUGGAUGUCCUGAAUCAGGGGCUGGAGGCCGUGACGGGUUGGAUCUCAGCUAAUAGACUGGGACUGAAUCCAGACAAGACGAAGGUAACCAUGAGACAAAAAGGAGAAGCUGCGAAAUUCCAUCUAGGCUGAACUGUGAAUGGAAUGUCCUAUAAUACAAACAGAAGCACCCCAAGGGCACUUCUUUUUUUGGUAUGUUGUAGAGAAUAGCUCUUUCAGUUGGACGAAUCACAAAGGUUGAAAUUUUGAAACUCUUUCCAUCUCUCAUCCUCUUACUGAAUAGAAUUCUUAGUCUCUGUCAUUGUGAUUCCUC